GGGUUAGUGUAUACUUACGUUGUUGCAGUUAAAAAGCUCGUAGUUGGAUUUGAGGUGUUCCUUUGGGAGUGCCGUGUUUGUGGGCUUGUUUCGCUGGCAUUGAGUUGUCGGUGUUUCGCGGUCCGCAUCGUUUACUGUGAAAAAAUUAGAGUGUUCAAAGCAUGUGUUUACAUUUGAAUACAUUAGCAUGGAAUAAUGAGAUACGACUUUUGGUCUAUUUUGUUGGUUUGCGUCCGAGAGUAAUGAUUAAUAGGGACAGUGGGGGGUAUUCAUAUUUGCGCGUCAGAGGUGAAAUUCUUGGAUCGCGUGAAGAUGAUCUUAGGCGAAAGCAUUUACCAUGGAUGUUUUCAUUAA
Molecule: ribosomal RNA, 354 nt
Filed under: uncultured eukaryote
Lineage: Eukaryota
Description: partial 18S ribosomal RNA
Rfam family: Eukaryotic small subunit ribosomal RNA
Source: RNAcentral